AAUGGGCGCAAGCCUGAUGCAGCAACGCCGCGUGAGGGACGACGGCCUUCGGGUUGUAAACNUNUUUUAGCAGGGAAGAAGCGAGAGUGACGGUACCUGCAGAAAAAGCGCCGGCUAACUACGUGCCAGCAGCCGCGGUAAUACGUAGGGCGCAAGCGUUAUCCGGAAUUAUUGGGCGUAAAGAGCUCGUAGGCGGUUUGUCGCGUCUGCUGUGAAAUCCCGAGGCUCAACCUCGGGUCUGCAGUGGGUACGGGCAGACUAGAGUGCGGUAGGGGAGAUUGGAAUUCCUGGUGUAGCGGUGGAAUGCGCAGAUAUCAGGAGGAACACCGAUGGCGAAGGCAGAUCUCUGGGCCGUAACUGACGCUGAGGAGCGAAAGGGUGGGGAGCAAACAGGCUUAGAUACCCUGGUAGUCCACCCCGUAAACGUUGGGAACUAGUUGUGGGGUCCAUUCCACGGAUUCCGUGACGCAGCUAACGCAUUAAGUUCCCCGCCUGGGGAGUACGGCCGCAAGGCUAAAACUCAAAGGAAUUGACGGGGACCCGCACAAGCGGCGGAGCAUGCGGAUUAAUUCGAUGCAACGCGAAGAACCUUACCAAGGCUUGACAUAUACGAGAACGGGCCAGAAAUGGUCAACUCUUUGGACACUCGUAAACAGGUGGUGCAUGGUUGUCGUCAGCUCGUGUCGUGAGAUGUUGGGUUAAGUCCCGCAACGAGCGCAACCCUCGUUCUAUGUUGCCAGCACGUAAUGGUGGGAACUCAUGGGAUACUGCCGGGGUCAACUCGGAGGAAGGUGGGGAUGACGUCAAAUCAUCAUGCCCCUUAUGUCUUGGGCUUCACGCAUGCUACAAUGGCCGGUACAAAGGGCUGCAAUACCGUAAGGUGGAGCGAAUCCCAAAAAGCCGGUCCCAGUUCGGAUUGAGGUCUGCAACUCGACCUCAUGAAGUCGGAGUCGCUAGUAAUCGCAGAUCAGCAACGCUGCGGUGAAUACGUUCCCGGGUCUUGUACACACCGCCCGUCAAGUCAUGAAAGUCGGUAACACCUGAAGCCGGUGGCCCAACCC
This 1061-nucleotide ribosomal RNA is filed under the name Microbacterium flavum. RNAcentral describes it as "bacterial SSU rRNA". It matches the Rfam family "Bacterial small subunit ribosomal RNA", at positions 370 to 1441 of the family's 1533-position model. Lineage: Bacteria; Bacillati; Actinomycetota; Actinomycetes; Micrococcales; Microbacteriaceae. The record is from RNAcentral.